RNAcentral lists this microRNA precursor (103 nucleotides) under Marmota monax (woodchuck). The record is from RNAcentral. Lineage: Eukaryota; Metazoa; Chordata; Mammalia; Rodentia; Sciuridae.
AGUAAGAUUGCUGGAGUGCAUGGUAAGAAUGUAUUAAAUUUUAUAAAAAACUGACAACACACUUUCCAAAGUGUCUGUGCCAUUUUGCAUUCCCACCAGUAAU